UACAGAGGUCCCAAGCGUUGUUCGGAUUCAUUGGGCGUAAAGGGUGCGUAGGUGGCGCGCUAAGUCAGGUGUGAAAUUUCGGAGCUUAACUCCGAAACUGCAUUUGAUACUGGCGUGCUUGAGGACUGGAGAGGAGACUGGAAUUUACGGUGUAGCAGUGAAAUGCGUAGAGAUCGUAAGGAAGACCAGUGGCGAAGGCGGGUCUCUGGACAGUUACUGACACUGAGGCACGAAGGCCAGGGGAGCAAACGGG
Molecule: ribosomal RNA, 253 nt
Filed under: uncultured bacterium
Lineage: Bacteria
Description: partial 16S ribosomal RNA
Rfam family: Bacterial small subunit ribosomal RNA
Source: RNAcentral